Molecule: ribosomal RNA, 254 nt
Filed under: uncultured bacterium
Lineage: Bacteria
Description: partial 16S ribosomal RNA
Rfam family: Bacterial small subunit ribosomal RNA
Source: RNAcentral
GACGGAGGGUGCUAGCGUUGUUCGGAAUCACUGGGCGUAAAGGGCGCGUAGGCGGCGCAGCGUGUCGGCUUGUGAAAGCCCGGGGCUCAACCCCGGAGGUGCGGCCGAAACUGCUGUGCUGGAGGCCGGAAGAGGAGGGUGGAAUACCCAGUGUAGAGGUGAAAUUCGUAGAUAUUGGGUGGAACACCGGUGGCGAAAGCGGCUCUCUGGUCCGGACCUGACGCUGAGGCGCGAAAGCGUGGGGAGCAAACAGG